CCUGGCUCUCUGGUCUCCCCCACCCCAGCUUUAUGGUCUUGGUCUCCUGGGGAAGCUGAAGAACUAAGGGCAGGAGUGGUUACGCUUGGCCUCCUGGUGUUGAGCGCCCUGUGGGAAGUCUACAGGUGGGGCCUCUGGAGUCCAGUGGGAAAAGCCAUCAACCAAGAACUAGAAAUUCUGUGUCAUGGUUGUGCCGUGCCUUCAGUAUGCAGUGUAGAACCAGGGGUCGUGUGUGCACAGUUCCUUCGGACACCCGAGCUACUCGGCUUCUUUCUCUCUGGCUUGGAACGGGCACCCCCGUGGAGCAGACCCAGGCUGGGGUGUCCUACAUUGUAAAUAAAACUGCUGCCCAGAAUAGUCCAGAACAUUCACAACCCGGGAAGCAGGGCAACAGGACUGACUGUGGCACCUUCCCCCCUGCCGCGCCCACCUCCCCCCACUCACAUGGGACUGGAUCCACCCUGAGGAGCCACGGUCAACAUCCUGCUUCCGGCAGGCCCUCCUGGAGGCCGCACAGAGGGGUGUUUGUUCGCAGUGGGCCGCGGGAGAGAUGCUAAUCAUGUUGGAUCUCUGGUCUGGGCUGAAGGUCAGGAGGUGCCCAGGGGCCAGAGGAAUUGGAUCUGCUAGGAGUUGGAGUUACAGAUGGCGGUGGGCCAGCUGAUGUGGUUGUUGAGAAUUGAACUCAAGUCUGAAGGAAAACAGUGUGUGCUCUUGACUGCUCGGCCAUCCCUCCAGCACCCCUGGGGCCUCUCCUCCCAUCUGAGCCCAGCCAGCAUGGGAACUCACUGGAUGCUCGCAAGAGCAUCUCCUUCCAUUCUUUCCUUCCAUUCCUAGCAUCAUGGCCAGAGCGAUUUUAUGAAGAUGUGAGUCACAUCAUGCCUGGGUCCCCUGUCCUUCUGAGGAAAAGCUGAAGUUUUGGUGAUGGCGUUUUACCCUAUCUGCCUGCCCCACCUCAUCUCCUACACUGAUCAUUUGGUUCAGCUGCUGGCUUUGUUCUCUGAUUACACAACCCAUGCCUCAGGACCUUUGCACUGGCUGUUUCCGCUUCUUGGAGCCUCCUUCCCCCAAGCAUCUCCAUGCUUUGCUCCUCGCCUUCCUCACAUCUUCAUCCGGGUUCUGCCUUAUCCAGGAGCCUUCCUCCAUGACCUCCGUGUUGAAAACUGAAGAUCACUCCCUGUGCCCAGAUCUUGCUUUCUAAUACCAUCCUGUAAUGAAGGGACCCAUGGCUUCUUGGAUAGGGUGGGAAAUACGCAGGAUGACGCUGGACUAUCUCAAAGCAUCCCAAAGGAAGUACUGGAGACAAGAGCCACCCAAAUGUGGGUGUGACCGACAUCGCUGGAGCAGCUGCACGGCACAGCAAACAGGGCUGGAUGAUAGCCCAGCGGCAAAACACAUUCACCAGCCUGUGAUAGAUAAAUAAAUAAAGCAGUCAGUGGAAGAGAAGAAGAGAAGAGCUGAGGCGCCGUGGGGUGUCAGGAGCUCCUCAGCAGAGGCCUUGCAGUGUACACCAGCCAGGGUUGAGGUCAUCAGCAGCGUAGUCAGGUUAGUAGUGUGGACCCGUGUAAAGAGAAGGGCACUGCGCCUUUGUCACCUGGCUUUCCAGUGCUCAGAACUUGGGUUUAGUCAUGUGAGGAACCAGCAGACAAAUUUUUAUUUUAUUUUAUUUUGUUUUACUUUAUUUAUUUUUGUAUUUUGAGACAGGACUUUAUGUAGCCCUGGCUGGCUUUGAACUCACUGUAUAUAACUGAGGGUGACGUUAAACUCCUGAUUUUCCAGCCCCCACCUCUGAAAUGUUGGGGUUAUGGAGGUGUUACUACCAUACCCAGCUCUCAGCAGGCAAAUUCUGAUUUAAGGACAUCUACAAAAUACCUGACCAGGACCCCUUCAAACCACUAGAGUCAACAAAAAACACGGGAUGUGUGAGGGGUGCUGUGGCCAAGAGAAGCUUCUAGAGGGAAGACAAUGAGCUGGAAUGUGAAAUGUGAAGGGCUCCUGGGACAGAAAGGGCUUAGAGGAACAAAGGAAGUCUGGUGAAACAACUGCCGAAGUUUCUACGGAUAAUAAUUACCAUGGGGUGUGGUGAUACUGCAACCCUAACACUCGGGAGGCUGAGGCUGAAGGAUGGUGAGUUUGAGAUCAGCUUGGGCUCCAUAGACUCUGGCUCAAAAAAAAAAAAAAAAAAUCAUUCAUGGCAGUAAAUGCAAGAUGUCACUGACAGAGAAAGUGAUGGGGAAGGGACAUCAAACUGAGCAAAGCUGAGCACACAAGUGAUCCAGCACUCAAGAGGCAUAAGCCAGGAGAUCAUGAGUUUGAGGCCAGCCUGGGCUAUGCAGUGAGAGCCCUUCUCAACGUAAAUAAAUAAAUAAGAGGCAGCUGGAUGACUCGGCAAAGCAUUAUGACAGCCUGACAGACUGAGUUCCUUCCCUGGAGCCCACCUAAAGCUGCAGGGAGAGACUGAACUCAACAGAGUUGCUCUCUGACCCCUCACAGGCAACCCAAGGAGUGGGCAUGUUCCCUGCGCAGCACGCGCACGCACAGUGCUCAUGAUCCAGAAAGCAACCAUUGUAGAAGCAGGUAAAAAAUAAAAUAAAAUAAAAAACCAGAAAGAAAAUAACCUCACCCAAGCUGCCAUGCCCCUCCCUGGCUUUUCCUGCUCAGACCUUUCACCGUUUACUCUGCCGUACAUUGACCUCACAGAUUCUAGGACCCGUCACCCCUCUUUGAGUCCAGGAUUUAAAGUGUCUAAAGGUGUCUGCCUGUCCACUGCUUGUGCCCAGAACUUCGGUCUGACAGUAAAUAUUUGUUGAAUGACAAAUUUCCACAGAUCGUCUGUUAAGCUUUUCCAAGUGCCCCCUGUGCCUGAAUACAUUUUCUUUUGUUGCCAAAUAAACAGAAGAUUAUGUAUGUGCA
Long non-coding RNA from Meriones unguiculatus (Mongolian gerbil), 2910 nucleotides. RefSeq lists it as uncharacterized. The transcript is spliced from 3 exons. The record is from RefSeq and is a predicted model, not a curated record. NCBI's taxonomy places the organism in Eukaryota, Metazoa, Chordata, Mammalia, Rodentia, Muridae.